Molecule: ribosomal RNA, 303 nt
Filed under: uncultured bacterium
Lineage: Bacteria
Description: partial 16S ribosomal RNA
Rfam family: Bacterial small subunit ribosomal RNA
Source: RNAcentral
AGCAGUCGCCACGGUAAUACGUAGGUCCCGAGCGUUGUCCGGACUUAUUGGGCGUAAAGCGAGCGCAGGCGGUUAGAUAAGUCUGAAGUUAAAGGCUGUGGCUUAACCAUAGUACGCUUUGGAAACUGUUUAACUUGAGUGCAAGAAGGGAGAGUGGAAUUCCAUGUGUAGCGGUGAAAUGCGUAGAUAUAUGGAGGAACACCGGUGGCGAAGGCGGCUCUCUGGCUUGUAACUGACGCUGAGGCUCGAAAGCGUGGGGCGCAAACAGGAUUAGAUACCCCCGUAGUCCCUGUCUCUUAUACA